Molecule: ribosomal RNA, 553 nt
Filed under: Salmonella enterica
Lineage: Bacteria; Pseudomonadati; Pseudomonadota; Gammaproteobacteria; Enterobacterales; Enterobacteriaceae
Description: partial 23S ribosomal RNA
Rfam family: Bacterial large subunit ribosomal RNA
Source: RNAcentral
UGUAGCAAGGUUAACCGUAUAGGGGAGCCGCAGGGAAACCGAGUCUUAACCGGGCGUUAAGUUGCAGGGUAUAGACCCGAAACCCGGUGAUCUAGCCAUGGGCAGGUUGAAGGUUGGGUAACACUAACUGGAGGACCGAACCGACUAAUGUUGAAAAAUUAGCGGAUGACCUGUGGCUGGGGGUGAAAGGCCAAUCAAACCGGGAGAUAGCUGGUUCUCCCCGAAAGCUAUUUAGGUAGCGCCUCGUGAAUUCAUCUCCGGGGGUAGAGCACUGUUUCGGCUAGGGGGCCAUCCCGGCUUACCAACCCGAUGCAAACUGCGAAUACCGGAGAAUGUUAUCACGGGAGACACACGGCGGGUGCUAACGUCCGUCGUGAAGAGGGAAACAACCCAGACCGCCAGCUAAGGUCCCAAAGUCAUGGUUAAGUGGGAAACGAUGUGGGAAGGCCCAGACAGCCAGGAUGUUGGCUUAGAAGCAGCCAUCAUUUAAAGAAAGCGUAAUAGCUCACUGGUCGAGUCGGCCUGCGCGGAAGAUGUAACGGGGCUAAACCAU